GUGCCGCUGAUGUAAUGGUAACAUAGCGGAUUUUUAAUCCGCCUAUCUGGGUUCAACUCCCGGGCGGCGCACCA
This 74-nucleotide transfer RNA is filed under the name Caudoviricetes sp. Its description in RNAcentral is "tRNA-Lys". It matches the Rfam family "tRNA". Rfam says of the family: Transfer RNA (tRNA) molecules are approximately 80 nucleotides in length. Their secondary structure includes four short double-helical elements and three loops (D, anti-codon, and T loops). The record is from RNAcentral. Lineage: Duplodnaviria; Heunggongvirae; Uroviricota; Caudoviricetes.